RNAcentral lists this ribosomal RNA (253 nucleotides) under uncultured bacterium. Its description in RNAcentral is "partial 16S ribosomal RNA". It matches the Rfam family "Bacterial small subunit ribosomal RNA", at positions 524 to 776 of the family's 1533-position model. The record is from RNAcentral.
UACGAAGGGGGCUAGCGUUGUUCGGAUUUACUGGGUGUAAAGGGUGCUCAGGUGGAUUUGUAAGUCAGAGGUGAAAUCCCAAAGCUUAACUUUGGUGCUGCCUUUGAUACUGCAAGUCUAGAGUUUGAGAGAGGGCAAUGGAAUAUCUGGUGUAGCGGUGAAAUGCGUAGAUAUCUGGAGGAAUACCGGUGGCGAAGGCGGCAUCCUGGACCGGCAUUGACGCUGAGGAGCGAAAGCCAGGGGAGCAAACGGG